RNAcentral lists this ribosomal RNA (483 nucleotides) under uncultured bacterium. Its description in RNAcentral is "bacterial SSU rRNA". It matches the Rfam family "Bacterial small subunit ribosomal RNA", at positions 28 to 507 of the family's 1533-position model. The record is from RNAcentral.
GAUGAACGCUAGCUACAGGCUUAACACAUGCAAGUCGAGGGGCAGCACAGUGUAGCAAUACACGGGUGGCGACCGGCGCACGGGUGCGUAACGCGUAUCCAACCUUCCCGUUACUCCGGGAUAGCCUUCCGAAAGGGAGAUUAAUACCGGAUGGUGUUUGAAGUCCGCAUGAAAUUCAAACUAAAGAUUUAUCGGUAACGGAUGGGGAUGCGUGACAUUAGAUAGUAGGCGGGGUAACGGCCCACCUAGUCUACGAUGUCUAGGGGUUCUGAGAGGAAGGUCCCCCACAUUGGAACUGAGACACGGUCCAAACUCCUACGGGAGGCAGCAGUGAGGAAUAUUGGUCAAUGGACGAAAGUCUGAACCNGCCAAGUCGCGUGAAGGAUGAAGGUUCUAUGGAUUGUAAACUUCUUUGUCUGAGGGUAAAAAGCGGACGUGUCCGUUCUGCAAGUAUCAGACGAAUAAGCAUCGGCUAACUCCGUG